GCUUACGGCCAUACCACCUUGAGAACGCCCGAUCUCAUCUGAACUCAGAAGCGAAGCAAGGUUGGGCCUGCUUAGUACUUGGAUGGGAGACCACCUGGGAAUACCAGGUGCUGUAAGCU
Ribosomal RNA from Acipenser ruthenus (sterlet), 119 nucleotides. Lineage: Eukaryota; Metazoa; Chordata; Actinopteri; Acipenseriformes; Acipenseridae. The record is from RefSeq and is a predicted model, not a curated record.